GGGUUGUGAGGUUAAGCGACUAAGCGUACACGGUGGAUGCCCUGGCAGUCAGAGGCGAUGAAGGACGUGCUAAUCUGCGAAAAGCGUCGGUAAGGUGAUAUGAACCGUUAUAACCGGCGAUGUCCGAAUGGGGAAACCCAGUGCAAUUCGUUGCACUAUCGUUAACUGAAUACAUAGGUUAACGAGGCGAACCGGGGGAACUGAAACAUCUAAGUACCCCGAGGAAAAGAAAUCAACCGAGAUUCCCCCAGUAGCGGCGAGCGAACGGGGAGCAGCCCAGAGUCUGAAUCAGCUUGUGUGUUAGUGGAACGGUCUGGAAAGUCCGACGGUACAGGGUGAUAGUCCCGUACACCAAAAUGCACAGGUUGUGAACUCGAAGAGUAGGGCGGGACACGUGGUAUCCUGUCUGAAUAUGGGGGGACCAUCCUCCAAGGCUAAAUACUCCUGACUGACCGAUAGUGAACCAGUACCGUGAGGGAAAGGCGAAAAGAACCCCGGCGAGGGGAGUGAAAAAGAACCUGAAACCGUGUACGUACAAGCAGUGGGAGCACCUUCGGGUGUGACUGCGUACCUUUUGUAUAAUGGGUCAGCGACUUAUAUUCUGUAGCAAGGUUAACCGUAUAGGGGAGCCGCAGGGAAACCGAGUCUUAACUGGGCGUUAAGUUGCAGGGUAUAGACCCGAAACCCGGUGAUCUAGCCAUGGGCAGGUUGAAGGUUGGGUAACACUAACUGGAGGACCGAACCGACUAAUGUUGAAAAAUUAGCGGAUGACUUGUGGCUGGGGGUGAAAGGCCAAUCAAACCGGGAGAUAGCUGGUUCUCCCCGAAAGCUAUUUAGGUAGCGCCUCGUGAAUUCAUCUUCGGGGGUAGAGCACUGUUUCGGCUAGGGGGUCAUCCCGACUUACCAACCCGAUGCAAACUACGAAUACCGAAGAAUGUUAUCACGGGAGACACACGGCGGGUGCUAACGUCCGUCGUGAAGAGGGAAACAACCCAGACCGCCAGCUAAGGUCCCAAAGUCAUGGUUAAGUGGGAAACGAUGUGGGAAGGCACAGACAGCCAGGAUGUUGGCUUAGAAGCAGCCAUCAUUUAAAGAAAGCGUAAUAGCUCACUGGUCGAGUCGGCCUGCGCGGAAGAUGUAACGGGGCUAAACCAUGCACCGAAGCUGCGGCAGCGACACUAUGUGUUGUUGGGUAGGGGAGCGUUCUGUAAGCCUGCGAAGGUGACCUGUGAGGGUUGCUGGAGGUAUCAGAAGUGCGAAUGCUGACAUAAGUAACGAUAAAGCGGGUGAAAAGCCCGCUCGCCGGAAGACCAAGGGUUCCUGUCCAACGUUAAUCGGGGCAGGGUGAGUCGACCCCUAAGGCGAGGCCGAAAGGCGUAGUCGAUGGGAAACAGGUUAAUAUUCCUGUACUUGGUGUUACUGCGAAGGGGGGACGGAGAAGGCUAUGUUAGCCGGGCGACGGUUGUCCCGGUUUAAGCAUGUAGGCUGNNNNNNNNNNNNNNNNNNNNNNNNNNNNNNNNNNNNNNNNNNNNNNNNNNNNNNNNNNNNNNNNNNNNNNNNNNNNNNNNNNNNNNNNNNNNNNNNNNNNUCCAGGCAAAUCCGGAUAAUCAAGGCUGAGGUGUGAUGACGAGGCACUACGGUGCUGAAGUAACAAAUGCCCUGCUUCCAGGAAAAGCCUCUAAGCAUCAGGUAACAUCAAAUCGUACCCCAAACCGACACAGGUGGUCAGGUAGAGAAUACCAAGGCGCUUGAGAGAACUCGGGUGAAGGAACUAGGCAAAAUGGUGCCGUAACUUCGGGAGAAGGCACGCUGGUGUGUAGGUGAAGUCCCUGCGGAUGGAGCUGAGACCAGUCGAAGAUACCAGCUGGCUGCAACUGUUUAUUAAAAACACAGCACUGUGCAAACACGAAAGUGGACGUAUACGGUGUGACGCCUGCCCGGUGCCGGAAGGUUAAUUGAUGGGGUUAUCCGUAAGGAGAAGCUCUUGAUCGAAGCCCCGGUAAACGGCGGCCGUAACUAUAACGGUCCUAAGGUAGCGAAAUUCCUUGUCGGGUAAGUUCCGACCUGCACGAAUGGCGUAAUGAUGGCCAGGCUGUCUCCACCCGAGACUCAGUGAAAUUGAACUCGCUGUGAAGAUGCAGUGUACCCGCGGCAAGACGGAAAGACCCCGUGAACCUUUACUAUAGCUUGACACUGAACAUUGAGCCUUGAUGUGUAGGAUAGGUGGGAGGCUUUGAAGCGUGGACGCCAGUCUGCGUGGAGCCAACCUUGAAAUACCACCCUUUAAUGUUUGAUGUUCUAACGUUGGCCCCUUACCGGGGUUGCGGACAGUGUCUGGUGGGUAGUUUGACUGGGGCGGUCUCCUCCCAAAGCGUAACGGAGGAGCACGAAGGUUAGCUAAUCCUGGUCGGACAUCAGGAGGUUAGUGCAAUGGCAUAAGCUAGCUUGACUGCGAGCGUGACGGCGCGAGCAGGUGCGAAAGCAGGUCAUAGUGAUCCGGUGGUUCUGAAUGGAAGGGCCAUCGCUCAACGGAUAAAAGGUACUCCGGGGAUAACAGGCUGAUACCGCCCAAGAGUUCAUAUCGACGGCGGUGUUUGGCACCUCGAUGUCGGCUCAUCACAUCCUGGGGCUGAAGUAGGUCCCAAGGGUAUGGCUGUUCGCCAUUUAAAGUGGUACGCGAGCUGGGUUUAGAACGUCGUGAGACAGUUCGGUCCCUAUCUGCCGUGGGCGCUGGAGAAUUGAGGGGGGCUGCUCCUAGUACGAGAGGACCGGAGUGGACGCAUCACUGGUGUUCGGGUUGUCAUGCCAAUGGCACUGCCCGGUAGCUAAAUGCGGAAGAGAUAAGUGCUGAAAGCAUCUAAGCACGAAACUUGCCCCGAGAUGAGUUCUCCCUGAGACUUUAAGUCUCCUGAAGGAACGUUGAAGACGACGACGUUGAUAGGCCGGGUGUGUAAGCGCAGCGAUGCGUUGAGCUAACCGGUACUAAUGAACCGUGAGGCUUAACCUUACAACGCCGAAG
Molecule: ribosomal RNA, 3019 nt
Filed under: Klebsiella pneumoniae
Lineage: Bacteria; Pseudomonadati; Pseudomonadota; Gammaproteobacteria; Enterobacterales; Enterobacteriaceae
Description: 23S ribosomal RNA
Rfam family: Bacterial large subunit ribosomal RNA
Source: RNAcentral